This is a non-coding RNA of Paramuricea clavata, 218 nucleotides long. The record is from the annotation of a GenBank genome assembly. Lineage: Eukaryota; Metazoa; Cnidaria; Anthozoa; Malacalcyonacea; Plexauridae.
UUAGCGUCGAAAACGCGAGGUUUUAAGGGGGUCUCUGAAAUGGCAUUUCCAGAGUUCUGAGAACAGAAUUUUUAAAAUCUUUGGCUAUUUUGCGUGGAUUUCAUUGAUAUAUUUUCAGUUUAAUAUAUUUUCAAGUACACACUUUUCAAUUUACAAGGGCACAUUCGCCUUUUACAAGGACACAAAGUGUGUACAAGGACACGCUAUUUUAAUGCCUG